This 2372-nucleotide ribosomal RNA is filed under the name Streptomyces sp. SPMA113. RNAcentral's name for it is "bacterial LSU rRNA". It matches the Rfam family "Bacterial large subunit ribosomal RNA", at positions 591 to 2823 of the family's 2925-position model. Lineage: Bacteria; Bacillati; Actinomycetota; Actinomycetes; Kitasatosporales; Streptomycetaceae. The record is from RNAcentral.
UCGUGACUGCGUGCCUUUUGAAGAAUGAGCCUGCGAGUUUGCGGUGUGUUGCGAGGUUAACCCGUGUGGGGAAGCCGUAGCGAAAGCGAGUCCGAAUAGGGCGUUUUAGUAGCGCGCUCAAGACCCGAAGCGGAGUGAUCUAGCCAUGGGCAGGUUGAAGCGGAGGUAAGACUUCGUGGAGGACCGAACCCACCAGGGUUGAAAACCUGGGGGAUGACCUGUGGUUAGGGGUGAAAGGCCAAUCAAACUCCGUGAUAGCUGGUUCUCCCCGAAAUGCAUUUAGGUGCAGCGUCGUGUGUUUCUUGCCGGAGGUAGAGCACUGGAUAGGCGAUGGGCCCUACCGGGUUACUGACCUUAGCCAAACUCCGAAUGCCGGUAAGUGAGAGCGCGGCAGUGAGACUGUGGGGGAUAAGCUCCAUGGUCGAGAGGGAAACAGCCCAGAGCAUCGACUAAGGCCCCUAAGCGUACGCUAAGUGGGAAAGGAUGUGGAGUCGCAGAGACAACCAGGAGGUUGGCUUAGAAGCAGCCAUCCUUGAAAGAGUGCGUAAUAGCUCACUGGUCAAGUGAUUCCGCGCCGACAAUGUAGCGGGGCUCAAGCGUACCGCCGAAGUCGUGUCAUUGCAGCAUUAACCUCUAACGGGGGCUGUGAUGGGUAGGGGAGCGUCGUGUGCCGGGUGAAGCAGCCGUGUAAGCGAGUUGUGGAUGGUUCACGAGUGAGAAUGCAGGCAUGAGUAGCGAUACACACGUGGGAAACGUGUGCGCCGAUUGACUAAGGGUUCCUGGGUCAAGCUGAUCUGCCCAGGGUAAGUCGGGACCUAAGGCGAGGCCGACAGGCGUAGUCGAUGGACAACCGGUUGAUAUUCCGGUACCCGCUGUGAAGCGUCAGCGCUGAACCAGGCGAUGCUAAGUCCGUGAAGCCGCCCUGAUCUCUUCGGAGUUGAGGGGAGUGGUGGAGCCGAUAGUCCAGACCUGUAGUAGGUGAGUGAUGGGGUGACGCAGGAAGGUAGUCCAGCCCGGGCGGUGGUUGUCCCGGGGUAAGGGUGUAGCCCGAGGGGUAGGUAAAUCCGUCUCUCAUUAAGGGUGAGACCUGAUGCCGAGCCGAUUGUGGCGAAGUGGAUGAUCCUAUGCUGUCGAGAAAAGCCUCUAGCGAGUUUUAUGGCGGCCCGUACCCUAAACCGACUCAGGUGGUCAGGUAGAGAAUACCGAGGCGUUCGGGUGAACUAUGGUUAAGGAACUCGGCAAAAUGCCCCCGUAACUUCGGGAGAAGGGGGGCCAUUGCUGGUGAUCACCCUUGCGGUGUGAGCUGGUGGUGGCCGCAGAGACCAGCGAGAAGCGACUGUUUACUAAAAACACAGGUCCGUGCGAAGCCGUAAGGCGAUGUAUACGGACUGACGCCUGCCCGGUGCUGGAACGUUAAGGGGACCGGUUAGUGGGGUUUUUGAUCCUGCGAAGCUGAGAACUUAAGCGCCAGUAAACGGCGGUGGUAACUAUAACCAUCCUAAGGUAGCGAAAUUCCUUGUCGGGUAAGUUCCGACCUGCACGAAUGGCGUAACGACUUCUCGACUGUCUCAACCAUAGGCCCGGUGAAAUUGCAUUACGAGUAAAGAUGCUCGUUUCGCGCAGCAGGACGGAAAGACCCCGGGACCUUUACUAUAGCUUGAUAUUGGUGUUCGGUUCGGCUUGUGUAGGAUAGGUGGGAGACUGUGAAGCAUUGACGCUAGUUGGUGUGGAGUCGUUGUUGAAAUACCACUCUGGUCGUGCUGGAUGUCUAACCUGGGUCCGUGAUCCGGAUCAGGGACAGUGUCUGGUGGGUAGUUUAACUGGGGCGGUUGCCUCCUAAAGGGUAACGGAGGCGCCCAAAGGUUCCCUCAGCCUGGUUGGCAAUCAGGUGUUGAGUGUAAGUGCACAAGGGAGCUUGACUGUGAGACCGACGGGUCGAGCAGGGACGAAAGUCGGGACUAGUGAUCCGGCGGUGGCUUGUGGAAGCGCCGUCGCUCAACGGAUAAAAGGUACCCCGGGGAUAACAGGCUGAUCUUCCCCAAGAGUCCAUAUCGACGGGAUGGUUUGGCACCUCGAUGUCGGCUCGUCGCAUCCUGGGGCUGGAGUCGGUCCCAAGGGUUGGGCUGUUCGCCCAUUAAAGCGGUACGCGAGCUGGGUUUAGAACGUCGUGAGACAGUUCGGUCCCUAUCCGCUGUGCGCGUAGGAGUCUUGAGAAGGGCUGUCCCUAGUACGAGAGGACCGGGACGGACGAACCUCUGGUGUGCCAGUUGUUCUGCCAAGGGCAUGGCUGGUUGGCUACGUUCGGGAGGGAUAACCGCUGAAAGCAUCUAAGCGGGAAGCCUGCUUCGAGAUGAGGGCUCCCACCCACUUGA